GUAUAGAGGACUACCAUGGUGAUAACGGGUAACGGAGAAUUAGGGUUCGAUUCCGGAGAGGGAGCCUGAGAAAUGGCUACCACUUCUAAGGAGGGCAGCAGGCGCGCAAAUUACCCAAUCCUAAUACUGGGAGGUAGUGACAAUAAAUAACAAUGCUGGAGUUUAUGCUCUGGUAAUUGGAAUGAGAACAAUUUAAACCCCUUAACGAGUAACCAUCAGAGGGCAAGUCUGGUGCCAGCAGCCGCGGUAAUUCCAGCUCUGAUAGCGUAUAUUAAAGUUGUUGCAGUUAAAAAGCUCGUAGUUGGAUUUUAGAGUGCAUUAAUAUGGUCUCUUGUGAUAAACUUGUUGUACUGUAUAAAUUACUCUUUCCUACUGGUUACUCGACUCUGUUCUUUAUUGCAUGGAGUAGUGUCGCAAGGCAUCGCUUAGUAUUUUAUUGCUCUUAGAUGUAGUAAUUGGGUAAAACUGGUUAUGUAAACCUAAGGGAUCACAGUAAGGUAUUAAGUGGGGUUCCAGUUCA
This 520-nucleotide ribosomal RNA is filed under the name uncultured eukaryote. RNAcentral's name for it is "bacterial SSU rRNA". It matches the Rfam family "Eukaryotic small subunit ribosomal RNA", at positions 331 to 809 of the family's 1831-position model. The record is from RNAcentral.